RNAcentral lists this ribosomal RNA (447 nucleotides) under Triticum aestivum (bread wheat). RNAcentral's name for it is "partial small subunit ribosomal RNA". Lineage: Eukaryota; Viridiplantae; Streptophyta; Magnoliopsida; Poales; Poaceae. The record is from RNAcentral.
AUGGAUGCCAUGGUCACCGAUGGAGGGAGCCUCGCGGCGUCGUCAAUUCCUCGGCAGAAGCAUGGAACAACUCCUCUCUGCCAUGUCAAGAGUGGAGGUCUGCUCACACGCAGUCCGAACGGCCACCUCCCGUGGCUUCUCCAUCCGGUGCAGCACAACUGGUGCAUGGUUGGGAGGUGGAGAUCCAACCUGAGAGCGUGCAGCAUGCUCAUGCCAUGGCCGUUGCUCCUGGAGUGGCUUUUGGCGUUGGGACACGGGAGGUUGAAGCGGUGGACAACUGCAGUUGUUGUGGCCGUCGCCCUCACAUCUCCUGCGGAGAGGCGCAGUCAUGGUGGUCUUCUGCUCGGGCUCGGGCGCAAGUUCAGGUGGCGCUAUGAAUCUGGCCAACAUGCUGCUGGGCAGUUGUCGGCCAAACGGUGGUCACCUGAGAGGAUUAAAAUUCUAUGA